GAUCAUGGCUCAGGAUGAACGCUAGCUACAGGCUUAACACAUGCAAGUCGAGGGGAAACGACAUCGAAAGCUUGCUUUUGAUGGGCGUCGACCGGCGCACGGGUGAGUAACGCGUAUCCAACCUGCCCACCACUUGGGGAUAACCUUGCGAAAGUAAGACUAAUACCCAAUGAUAUCUCUAGAAGACAUCUGAAGGAGAUUAAAGAUUUAUCGGUGAUGGAUGGGGACGCGU
Molecule: ribosomal RNA, 232 nt
Filed under: uncultured bacterium
Lineage: Bacteria
Description: partial 16S ribosomal RNA
Rfam family: Bacterial small subunit ribosomal RNA
Source: RNAcentral